Non-coding RNA from Nicotiana attenuata, 78 nucleotides. NCBI's taxonomy places the organism in Eukaryota, Viridiplantae, Streptophyta, Magnoliopsida, Solanales, Solanaceae. The record is from Rfam.
AUGAGCCGGAUGCGCGGAGACCCGCACGUACGGUUUUUAGGGGGAUCUAGUCGAAAAACCAGCCGGCGCCCACCCGAC